Long non-coding RNA from Bombus terrestris (buff-tailed bumblebee), 984 nucleotides. RefSeq lists it as uncharacterized. The transcript is spliced from 5 exons. The record is from RefSeq and is a predicted model, not a curated record. NCBI's taxonomy places the organism in Eukaryota, Metazoa, Arthropoda, Insecta, Hymenoptera, Apidae.
UCUGCAUAAUUUCACAGAGGUUACAACAAACGUCGUUAACAAACGAUUGCGUGUGACUAAUUAAAUCACGUUUGAUGUUGAGCAAAUUGCUCGUAAUCGCUACUACGUUACGGGCUAAUGAAUUCUCGGAGUAAUUAUUCACAGCGUGGCAAAUAAUUCGGGGAAUUUGAGGGAUUCGGUCAGGCAAGAAAUUAGACUAUGUAUCACUGUGAUGUUUUAUUGUCUUUCUAGGAUGUGGAGAAAGGAAGGUUGGAUUUUAAGCGGUAAAUGACACACUCCAUAUCCUCUGAUGACGUCGUGGCCGAAGAUAUCCAAGCCAUAAACAGACAUUAUUAACUGAGGCCCUAAGACACCAUUUUACAAAGGGUUCCGGGCUUCGAUUUCCUCAAGUACGUAAAUCGAGUAUCAUUGAAUCCACUCACAUCCAUGCGGGUUGGUACUCUUGAACGUGACUUCUAACGGAAAAUUCCAGACUGCCAGAUUUCGUGGAUCGCUGCUGCAUUUGCAUAUCUGCGUCAAACCUUCCUCGAUACCCUAAACGGGGUUGCACAAGUCACUAAACGAUCGACGAUAAAAUUCCGCCUUUGAAAUCGAUAGAACACUGCGUCUAGUCGACGCAACAGCGUGUCAGAUAGUAGGCGUUGUCAACAUCGUAAAACUCCGCGUGUUCGAUGGAUCCUGUGAUCGAGAGGAAGAAUUCACCUUCGACUGACAUGACCAACUUACGUAGGAAUCUAAUCGAAUUAAAUUCACAAACUCACAGAAAGGAAAUCUAACAGAUCCACGAUAUUUGUUUAUUCCUAGUAUCGUUAAAAUACAUCGACGUAGUACAAUCAUUAAAAGCGAGGAAGGUUCUAUGAACGAAAAGUGACUAAUGGUAGGCUUAUUUGUGCUGAUCGGAGCUUUGUGUACGAUUAAGCGAAUUGGUUGUCGUGGUAACGAAGCAUGCGCCUCCAUUUUCCAUAGCAUGUGGUUCAUUUCAAC